CACGUUAAAUUAAAAAGUGUCUCCACAAUAAAUUAACCCACUUAUUCACACUGGGAGCAACUGGCAUUAAGGACCUUGCCCA
This is a long non-coding RNA of Thalassophryne amazonica, 82 nucleotides long. RefSeq lists it as uncharacterized. The record is from RefSeq and is a predicted model, not a curated record. The transcript is spliced from 3 exons. NCBI's taxonomy places the organism in Eukaryota, Metazoa, Chordata, Actinopteri, Batrachoidiformes, Batrachoididae.